CCUACGGGUUGCAGCAGUGGGGAAUAUUGCACAAUGGGCGCGAGCCUGAUGCAGCCAUGCCGCGUGUAUGAAGAAGGCCUUCGGGUUGUAAAGUACUUUCAGCGAGGAGGAAGGCGAUAAGGUUAAUAACCUUGUCGAUUGACGUUACCCGCAGAAGAAGCACCGGCUAACUCCGUGCCAGCAGCCGCGGUAAUACGGGGGGUGCAAGCGUUAAUCGGAAUUACUGGGCGUAAAGCGCACGCAGGCGGUCUGUCAAGUCGGAUGUGAAAUCCCCGGGCUCAGCCUGGGAACUGCAUUCGAAACUGGCAGGCUAGAGUCUUGUAGAGGGGGGUAGAAUUCCAGGUGUAGCGAUGAAAUGCGUAGAGAUCUGGAGGAAUACCGGUGGCGAAGGCGGCCCCCUGGACAAAGACUGACGCUCAGGUGCGAAAGCGUGGGGAGCAAACAGGAUUAGAUACCCUGGUAGUC
Molecule: ribosomal RNA, 465 nt
Filed under: uncultured bacterium
Lineage: Bacteria
Description: bacterial SSU rRNA
Rfam family: Bacterial small subunit ribosomal RNA
Source: RNAcentral